AUCGAACGCUGGCGGCAGGCCUAACACAUGCAAGUCGAACGGUAGCACAGAGAGCUGGCUCUCGGGUGACGAGUGGCGGACGGGUGAGUAAUGGCUGGCACACUGCCCGAUGGCGGGGGAUCACUACUGGAAACGGUAGCUAAUACCGCAUAACGUCGCAAGACCAAAGUGGGGCACCUUCGGGCCUCACACCAUCGGAUGUGCCCAGACGGGAUUAGCUGGUAGGUGGGGUAAUGGAGCACCUAGGCGACGAACCCUAGAUGGACUGGGAGGCUGGCCAGCCGCACUGGAGCGGGGACGCGGUCCAGAGUCCUACGGGAGGGAGCAGUGGGGAAUAUUGCACAAUGGGCGCAAGCCUGAGGCAGCCAGGCCGCGUGUAUGAAGAAGGCCUUCGGGUUGUAAAGUACUUUCAGCGGGGAGGAAGGCGGUGAAGUUAAUAACUUCACCGAUUGACGUUACCCGCAGAAGAAGCACCGGCUAACUCCGUGCCAGCCGCCGCGGUAA
Molecule: ribosomal RNA, 504 nt
Filed under: uncultured bacterium
Lineage: Bacteria
Description: partial 16S ribosomal RNA
Rfam family: Bacterial small subunit ribosomal RNA
Source: RNAcentral